Molecule: small RNA, 184 nt
Filed under: Sorex araneus (European shrew)
Lineage: Eukaryota; Metazoa; Chordata; Mammalia; Eulipotyphla; Soricidae
Description: 7SK RNA (ENSSARG00000018794.1)
Source: RNAcentral
UUUCUCUGUCGACAGUUGGUAAGGGUAUCUGAAGAAAAUCUGUGUCCUUGUCCAAAAGGAUGGCCUUCCCUGAAGAGAAAGAGAUAUAUUUGACUGAGAACAUACUAAUAGCUGUGCUCUCUGCUAGAAUCUCCAAAUAAGCUCUCAAGGAAUACUCCUAAGGGAGCUUCAGAGAUAGUACGGC